RNAcentral lists this ribosomal RNA (519 nucleotides) under uncultured bacterium. RNAcentral's name for it is "bacterial SSU rRNA". It matches the Rfam family "Bacterial small subunit ribosomal RNA", at positions 8 to 518 of the family's 1533-position model. The record is from RNAcentral.
AGAGUUGAUCCUGGCUCAGAACGAACGCUGGCGGCGCGUCUUAAGCAUGCAAGUCGAACGGCAAGAGGUAGCAAUACCUCCUAGAGUGGCGGACUGGUGAGUAACACGUGGGUGACAUACCCUUCAGAUGGGGAUAGCUAUAGAAAUAGUAGAUAAUACCGAAUACGAGCACAGGGGUUAGAGAUCUGUGAGGAAAGGAGCUAAGGCUCCGCUGAAGGAAUGGCCUGCGGCCCAUUAGCUAGUUGGUGAGGUAAGAGCCCACCAAGGCGAUGAUGGGUAUCCGGCCUUAGAGGGUGAACGGACACAUUGGGACUGAGAUACGGCCCAGACUCCUACGGGAGGCAGCAGCUAAGAAUAUUCCGCAAUGGACGAAAGUCUGACGGAGCGACGCCGCGUGGAUGAAGAAGGCCGGAAGGUUGUAAAAUCCUUUUGAAACUGAAGAAUAAGCGUUGUAGGGAAUGACAGCGUGGUGACAGUAGGUUUUGAAUAAGCAACGGCUAAUUACGUGCCAGCCGCGGC